GUUUUUAUAAUCUUAAUUAUUAGACAUUUAAUUUCUUCAAUAAGUAAAAUGAAUUCCAUGAUUGCUGUAUGUGAAGAUUGAAUUUACGAAUCCUCUGAAGAAAAGUAAAGAUUAUAUUAGCAUUCACUUAAAAUUUAGUAUUAAAUAACUUAUAUACUCUAAUAUGUAAUGACAAUUUUAACUUUAAAAGGUCUAAAAAAAAAUUUAAAAAAAAAUACUAAAUACACCCUAAAAUCUCUUUUAACAUGUAUAUCACAAGAUUAUUUAUCCUCUUCAACUCUAAACCACUCUCAUUCUCUAUUGUGGAAUAAAAGCCUAACCAAUCAAACUACAAACAAAUUGAUUGAGAAAAAUUGUUUUUGACGAAUAGAACUUGAAAUUGAUAUUUCAGAAGCUUCACCUUGUUCAAAAUGUACCGUCACAAAUGAAUGAAGGUUAAACUUCAUUGGUGUCAAAUUAUAGUCCUCGCCUUCUUUCGCAAUGUAGACAAUGGUGAUGCUAUUUCACAAAGCCAUGUUAUAAAAACAACAUGAUGAUCAGAUAAUACUAAAUUGCUUAUUUGCCUUCAAGAGACAUUUUUUUCAUUUACAGCAUGGUGUUUGAAUAUGCUAUGUGGUGCAUAAAAUAUCAUUUAGUGUGCCAAGGACAAUACUUUAUACUGUUGAACUUAACUACCAAAUGGACAUAGAGAGCCUAAAGGUCCUUGCAUCAUCAUCUUAUAUUUCCUAAAUUAUCAUUUUUGAGAUACACCCCCCACUGAUCAAUGUUGAUUAGAUGGAAAAAAGUUGAGCUGCUAUACAAUAAUUUAAGAAAAAAAAAAUCAAACAGAUUGCUCUCACCAUCUAUGCUCUUAACCCUCUCAAUUGUGUCGAAACUUUUGCCCUUUCACUUUUGUAACGAUCCACAAGCAACUUCCGCUUUUCUAUAUUUGAGUGACAUGAAUGCUUUUGUAUCAAACAGUACAUAGCACAGACAACAAAACAAGUGAACAGAAUCAUUGUGAAGAGUGUGAGAUGUAUAGAGAAAAUGUAAAGGUGUAUGUUGAAAGUGUGAGAUGUGAGGGUAUUAUGAAAAAGUAUAUGGAGUGUAUUAACAAAAAUUUUAAUUGAAAAAGCAAAUGUGGGGUGGAUUCAACAAUGUUUUGGGUGUUAAUAUAAUAAACUUUAUAUUUGAGGUAUAAAGUAUGUGGAAAAUAAAUAAAUAAAUAAGCAAGCGUAGAAGCACUAGACCGAAUUUUUAAACUAAAUUUGUAAACCAAAUAAUGUGUUACCAAUAAUAAAUAAGUACAUUAAUCGACAUUUAAUUAAUAAUCCAAUCAUUUAUAGUCAAAUCAUUUGAUUUACAAAUUUGAUUUAAAAAUUUUGAUU
RNAcentral lists this long non-coding RNA (1367 nucleotides) under Malus domestica (apple). RNAcentral's name for it is "long non-coding RNA (MDOM_LNC011350)". The record is from RNAcentral. Lineage: Eukaryota; Viridiplantae; Streptophyta; Magnoliopsida; Rosales; Rosaceae.